AGAGGUAAACGGGUGGAGUUGAACUGCAUGCUCCGUGAAUUCAGCUGGUGAGAUUGUUUUGGGGCUUGGUVAAGUGGGGUAGACACUGAGGUAUGCUUAGCUGCAUGUCCCGGCCUGUAGGUUGGGAUGCGCGGUACGCUCAUCAUGCGUUGCGCGCCUCUGUUGUUUAUCUGCCCUCUCGCCAGUGCAUUUUCGCGGAGUGAUCACCAAGACCGGCGUUGCUGUCCGGCUGCUUCAGUUAAACCGGUCUUACGCGUCCCUGUGGCGUUGUUUGGUCGGGACGGCAGGUAGCCUGUUGGCUUGCUUUGNUUGCUUUCGGGUAUAAUCAGCUGACUAAAGCGGGACUGUGCAGUGCGUCGGAGCUGGCGGCCAGUUGUGUAUGCUCGUGUGUCAUGCCUUCCGAUGGAUUCUGUUCUGAUUGCCAUGUUGCCUGUCUCGGCAGGUCUGGCGGUGGACGGGGUUCUAUUGGUUGGUGGUUCCGCGGGUCGCACUUUAAAGGGCCAAUAGUCUUUGGUGUCGUGGUAGACCAUCCACCUGACCCGUCUUGAAACACGGACCAAGGAGAGUAACAUGUGCGCGAGUCAUUGGGUGUAACGAAACCCAAAGGCGCAGUGAAAGUAAAGGUCUGACUUGUUCAGUCUGAGGUGAGAUCCUGUUGUUUCUCAUGCGUGGUAUCACCAAGCUUGGAGCGACAGGCGCAUCACCGGCCCGUCCCAUGAUGUAGACACGGUCAUUGUACUCGUGCACCGUCGGGGCGGAGCAUGAGCGCACACGUUGAGACCCGAAAGAUGGUGAACUAUGCUUGCGCAGGUUGAAGCCAGAGGAAACUCUGGUGGAGGACCGCAGCGAUUCUG
RNAcentral lists this ribosomal RNA (854 nucleotides) under Phyllodistomum brevicecum. Its description in RNAcentral is "eukaryotic LSU rRNA". It matches the Rfam family "Eukaryotic large subunit ribosomal RNA", at positions 411 to 888 of the family's 3401-position model. Lineage: Eukaryota; Metazoa; Platyhelminthes; Trematoda; Plagiorchiida; Gorgoderidae. The record is from RNAcentral.